UGACGUCACAGACUGAGGACGUCAACAAACUCGAACUUCUCGCGUCCGGACGAGUGACCGAGGCCCGCGGGAAGAUCUUCGGUUUUGUCAGAACCGAUUCGAGAUGUCGGAAACUUCACUAUUAACAAACCUGGUCGACUCCUGGUUCGGGAGCCUCACCAUCAACCUGCUGUGUUACUCGACAGUCUUCAUUCCAGGGUACUUCCUCCUGCAGUAUUUCAAGAAUUCAAAGUAUAUUGAAAGAGCGGAAUAUGAGAAUGGCUUGAACAACACAGCACAUAAUGACAGUGAGAGUUCUUCAACCCGCAUUGUGCUUCCGAGCUUCCCAGGCACUGGUCUCGUUUCCAAGUUAAUCACCUCCUGUGUGUACGGCCACAGCUAUGACAAGAUUGUCACAGACCCGGCAGGUGCCCCCAAGGGAGCCCAUGGCGAGAAAUCCAUGGGCUCCAGCUUCGUCCAGCUCAUGUUCUGCUUCGUGGGACUGCAGCUGUCGUACCUCACGUGGGGGGUCCUGCAAGAGAAGAUUAUGACGAAGGAAUACCAAAACUCAGAUGGCAGCAUAGGUCACUUCAAGGACUCUCAGUUUCUUGUAUUUGUCAAUCGAAUCUUGGCCUUCAUGCUCGCAGCUUCAUACUUGAGCUUGACAAGGCAGCCUCGCCACACUGCACCUAUAUACAAGUAUUCAUAUUGUUCCUUCUCUAAUAUCAUGAGUUCUUGGUGCCAGUAUGAAGCCCUGAAAUAUGUCAGCUUUCCUACUCAGGUUUUGGCGAAGGCUUCAAAGAUCAUUCCAACCAUGAUCAUGGGCAAGAUUGUCAGCAGCAAAAAGUAUGAUUAUUAUGAGUACUGCACAGCUUUCCUCAUCUCCGUGGGCAUGACGAUGUUCCUGAUGGGCUCAACGGAAGCCAGUACGAAAACAAACAGCACAACCACCAUGUCGGGAGUGAUCAUCCUGGUGGGGUAUAUGUCGUUUGAUGCCUUCACGUCCAACUGGCAGGGAGAGCUCUUCACACAGCACAAGAUGUCCUCUGUUCAGAUGAUGUGUGGUGUCAACUUCUUCUCUUGCCUCCUGACGACGACCUCCCUCCUUCAGCAAGGUGGCUUUGGGGUCUCGUUAGCAUUCAUGUUCACUUACCCAGUGUUCUUUUGGGACUGCCUCAUUCUCUCGGUAUGCUCUGCCACAGGCCAGCUUUUUAUCUACCAUACCAUAUCUACCUUUGGUCCUGUGGUCUUCAUCAUCAUCAUGACUAUUCGUCAGGGAUUGGCAAUCCUCCUCUCGUGCAUCUUGUACUCCCACCCAGUGACUAUCCUGGGUGUCCUGGGCAUCAUGCUGGUAUUUGCUGCCCUGUUCCUCCGCGUAUAUUGCAGCUACCGAAUGAAGCAGCUGCAGCAGAGAAAAUCAGCUGGAGAAACGUCAAAGGUUUAGGUUUGAAGCCAAGUCUCCACCUCGAAAGCCUCUUCUGUGUCUCAGUGAACCUCUCCUCAUGCCUCUGUUGACGCCUUUUGAAGGGAUCUAUCAAGUUGAAGAAAAUAUAAGUUUUGUUUUAAAGAAUAAUGAAUAAUAAUCAUGCAAGAUAUUCAAGUUUUGAAUCACAAGACCUACUUAUUCAAGAAAAGAGAAGAUUUUCACGUUCAGAAGAUUGCAAAAUAAGAUAAUAAUUACAUGGGUGUUUGUGUGUAUGUGUGUGCGUGCGUGUGUCUGCGUGCAUACAUAUUUAAAAUAAAGUAGAGAGUGGUUGAAAGUCAAGUUUUUUUUUUUUUUUUUUUUUUGUUAUUGUUGCUUCUAUUUUCUUUUUCUUUAACCCCUUCCUGAUGGGUUACGCUGUGAGGCGUCAAAACAAACCGCUCGAUCUCUGGUGUGCCGCUGUACGCUGCAGCGGCGCGCCAAAGCGCUACGAGCCAGUGAUUUGGCUUGAUGUACCGAACUCCUGCGCUCAAAGCUGGUGCGUUGCUAUUGAUCUCCAGAGCGUAGAGUUUUUUUUUUCUUAUAGUUUUCGUCAGCCGUCAUCAAGGGGUUAAGAAGGAAAAGAUUGGUGUCAGAUUUACGAUUCAUUCAUCUAGAUUUGUUACUUGAAAAGACGAACAUCAUUAUUAUUUUUUAAGCUGAAGAAUUUUUCAAAAAGCCAUUCUUUAAAAAGCUACCUUCCAAGAAUGGUUAAUGCUCUAGCAAAUAUUAAUAAUAUGAAAAGGAACUGAUAUAAUAGCACUGCACUGUAUUCUAUAACAGGUAUUAUUAGUGAUUAAUAUAUGUAAUCUAAUCUUUCAUCAAGAUAUCAAAUUCAGUUGGUUUUCCUUUUUAAAAAAGGAAUCUUAAAUAUUAUUCACUUUUUCAUGACAAAUUGAUAAAAUUUUUGACAUUUGUGAUUGCCUAUACAAAUUAUUAAUUAUUAUUAUUCCUUAGAAGUGCACAAUAAUGAUGAAUGAAAUAGGUAUGAACACAAUGAAAUGUUUGAAAAUAUUGUACAGUAGUAAUUAGGUUAUAAUUAUUUUAAUAUAUUUUGAUUGGUGGUGGUUAUAUUUUAUAUAUUGUUUCAAAGAGUGAAAAAAAAUAUAUUUUAUUCUCUCCUUUUUUUGGUAAAUGUUACCAAAAAGCCAUCAAGAUUGUGAUUGCAACAAAUAAAUAUUUGUGUAUGAAA
Molecule: RNA transcript, 2633 nt
Organism: Penaeus chinensis
Lineage: Eukaryota; Metazoa; Arthropoda; Malacostraca; Decapoda; Penaeidae
Gene: sll
Gene name: adenosine 3'-phospho 5'-phosphosulfate transporter 1-like
Exons: 11
Source: RefSeq, a predicted model, not a curated record